This 976-nucleotide ribosomal RNA is filed under the name agricultural soil bacterium SC-I-41. RNAcentral's name for it is "bacterial SSU rRNA". It matches the Rfam family "Bacterial small subunit ribosomal RNA", at positions 9 to 988 of the family's 1533-position model. The record is from RNAcentral.
GAGUUUGAUCCUGGCUCAGGAUGAACGCUAGCGGCAGGCUUAACACAUGCAAGUCGAGGGGUAUAUUUCUUCGGAGAUAGAGACCGGCGGCACGGGUGCGUAACGCGUAUGCAAUCUACCUUUUACAGAGGGAUAGCCCCAAGAGAAAUUUGGAUUAAUACCUCAUAGUAUAUCACAAUCGCAUGAUUGAGUUAUUAAAGUCACAACGGUAAAAGAUGAGCAUGCGUCCCAUUAGCUAGUUGGUAAGGUAACGGCUUACCAAGGCUACGAUGGGUAGGGGUCCUGAGAGGGAGAUCCCCCACACUGGUACUGAGACACGGACCAGACUCCUACGGGAGGCAGCAGUGAGGAAUAUUGGACAAUGGGCGCAAGCCUGAUCCAGCCAUGCCGCGUGCAGGAUGACGGUCCUAUGGAUUGUAAACUGCUUUUAUACGAGAAGAAACACUCCUUCGUGAAGGAGCUUGACGGUAUCGUAAGAAUAAGGAUCGGCUAACUCCGUGCCAGCAGCCGCGGUAAUACGGAGGAUCCAAGCGUUAUCCGGAAUCAUUGGGUUUAAAGGGUCCGUAGGCGGUUUGGUAAGUCAGUGGUGAAAGCCCAUCGCUCAACGGUGGAACGGCCAUUGAUACUGCCAGACUUGAAUUAUUAGGAAGUAACUAGAAUAUGUAGUGUAGCGGUGAAAUGCUUAGAGAUUACAUGGAAUACCAAUUGCGAAGGCAGGUUACUACUAAUUGAUUGACGCUGAUGGACGAAAGCGUGGGUAGCGAACAGGAUUAGAUACCCUGGUAGUCCACGCCGUAAACGAUGGAUACUAGCUGUUGGGAGCAAUCUCAGUGGCUAAGCGAAAGUGAUAAGUAUCCCACCUGGGGAGUACGUUCGCAAGAAUGAAACUCAAAGGAAUUGACGGGGGCCCGCACAAGCGGUGGAGCAUGUGGUUUAAUUCGAUGAUACGCGAGGAACCUUACCAAGGCUUAAAUGU